CCGCCCCCACUCCAGCCCCGGGAAGCCCCGAUUGCGGGCGGAGCGCGAGCCACCGCGGCGGGUGGAGCCUGCGGCCGCCGGAUCCCAGGGCCAAUCGCGCGGUGGCAGGGGAGGAGCCCCGGAGGGGGAAAAAGAAAGUGCGGCGGAAAGUAAGAGGCGAGUCGAGGAAGGCUGCUGGGAUCUGGGUCUCCUGGGCUCGGCUUGGACCAGGGCGCGGAAAGAGGCAGUGGCCGGCCACCCUGCACCCAUCCCGUCAUUGUCGCCGAGUCUGCUCGGCUGGCCCAGGAAGGAUGGGAUUUCUGUGGUUGAUGAGUCUGUGCUUCUUUGGGAUCCUGCAGAGUCAUGCCUCAGUUGUGACUUCAGUAUAAUUUCAAAAGACCCCGGCAUUUAAUGACGCAGGAAACAAAAUAAGCAAAGUGGAUGGAGCUCCCAUAUUCUACACUAUCAGGAGUUUGCUGUGCUUUUUCUGUAUCUGAAUGUCUUUUGUUAUUCACCCUGACUCUUGGAUAACACCAGUACUGUUACUCCAUUCACUUUAAAAAUGGAGAGUAAAAAUGUUACCGUGCAUCACCACAAGGAACAUAACAUACCUGAUGCAGAAGUUCAAGCCUGUCAAUGGUUUGCUAGGCAUCCUUAGGUAAGCUUCUUAACCUCUCAGCAGCUGGGUGUCUUUGUCUAUAUUCAUUCAGCUGCUUCUGACUCUCUCUAGGAUUGUAAAUUAAAAUACGUUUGAGGCCUGAGAACCAUGCUGGUGAGAAGGCUCAGUAGUGGUACUUACCCUCAAGACUGAGCUCAAUUCCCAGAACUCAGAUGGUGGUAAGAGGGCCCGUCUGGGAAAGUUGCCCUCUGAGGUCCACACUCUGGAAC
RNAcentral lists this long non-coding RNA (867 nucleotides) under Meriones unguiculatus (Mongolian gerbil). RNAcentral describes it as "lncRNA (ENSMUGG00000012943.1)". The record is from RNAcentral. Lineage: Eukaryota; Metazoa; Chordata; Mammalia; Rodentia; Muridae.